Molecule: transfer RNA, 87 nt
Filed under: Gemmatimonadota bacterium
Lineage: Bacteria; Pseudomonadati; Gemmatimonadota
Description: Gemmatimonadetes bacterium tRNA-Leu
Rfam family: tRNA
About the family: Transfer RNA (tRNA) molecules are approximately 80 nucleotides in length. Their secondary structure includes four short double-helical elements and three loops (D, anti-codon, and T loops). Further hydrogen bonds mediate the characteristic L-shaped molecular structure. tRNAs have two regions of fundamental functional importance: the anti-codon, which is responsible for specific mRNA codon recognition, and the 3' end, to which the tRNAs corresponding amino acid is attached (by aminoacyl-tRNA synthetases). tRNAs cope with the degeneracy of the genetic code in two manners: having more than one tRNA (with a specific anti-codon) for a particular amino acid; and 'wobble' base-pairing, i.e. permitting non-standard base-pairing at the 3rd anti-codon position.
Source: RNAcentral
GCCGAAGUGGUGGAACUGGUAGACGCGCUGGCUUCAGGAGCCAGUGGGCGCAAGCCCGUGGGGGUUCGAGUCCCCCCUUCGGCAUCA